This 505-nucleotide ribosomal RNA is filed under the name uncultured bacterium. Its description in RNAcentral is "bacterial SSU rRNA". It matches the Rfam family "Bacterial small subunit ribosomal RNA", at positions 501 to 1008 of the family's 1533-position model. The record is from RNAcentral.
CUACGUGCCAGCAGCCGCGGUAAUACGGAAGGUCCAGGCGUUAUCCGGAUUUAUUGGGUUUAAAGGGAGCGUAGGCUGGAGAUUAAGUGUGUUGUGAAAUGUAGACGCUCAACGUCUGAAUUGCAGCGCAUACUGGUUUCCUUGAGUACGCACAACGUUGGCGGAAUUCGUCGUGUAGCGGUGAAAUGCUUAGAUAUGACGAAGAACUCCGAUUGCGAAGGCAGCUGACGGGAGCGCAACUGACGCUUAAGCUCGAAGGUGCGGGUAUCAAACAGGAUUAGAUACCCUGGUAGUCCGCACAGUAAACGAUGGAUGCCCGCUGUUGGUACCUGGUAUCAGCGGCUAAGCGAAAGCAUUAAGCAUCCCACCUGGGGAGUACGCCGGCAACGGUGAAACUCAAAGGAAUUGACGGGGGCCCGCACAAGCGGAGGAACAUGUGGUUUAAUUCGAUGAUACGCGAGGAACCUUACCCGGGCUUGAAUUGCAGAGGAAUUAUUUAGAGAUA